This 253-nucleotide ribosomal RNA is filed under the name uncultured bacterium. Its description in RNAcentral is "partial 16S ribosomal RNA". It matches the Rfam family "Bacterial small subunit ribosomal RNA", at positions 524 to 776 of the family's 1533-position model. The record is from RNAcentral.
UACGUAGGGUGCAAGCGUUGUCCGGAAUUAUUGGGCGUAAAGAGCUCGUAGGCGGUUCGUCGCGUCGGCUGUGAAAUCCCGGAGCUCAACUCCGGGUCUGCAGUCGAUACGGGCGGACUCGAGUUCGGCAGGGGAGACUGGAAUUCCUGGUGUAGCGGUGAAAUGCGCAGAUAUCAGGAGGAACACCAAUAGCGAAGGCAGCUCGCUGGGACGUUACUGACGCUGAGGCGCGAAAGCGUGGGGAGCGAACAGG